Molecule: ribosomal RNA, 512 nt
Filed under: uncultured bacterium
Lineage: Bacteria
Description: bacterial SSU rRNA
Rfam family: Bacterial small subunit ribosomal RNA
Source: RNAcentral
UGAGACACGGACCAAACUUAUACGGGAGGCAGCAGUGAGGAAUAUUGGUCAAUGGACGCAAGUCUGAACCAGCCAUGCCGCGUGCAGGAAGACGGCUCUAUGAGUUGUAAACUGCUUUUGUACGAGGGUAAACGCAGAUACGUGUAUCUGUCUGAAAGUAUCGUACGAAUAAGGAUCGGCUAACUCCGUGCCAGCAGCCGCGGUAAUACGGAGGAUUCAAGCGUUAUCCGGAUUUAUUGGGUUUAAAGGGUGCGUAGGCGGUCGGAUAAGUUAGAGGUGAAAUCCCGAGGCUCAACUUCGGAAUUGCCUCUGAUACUGUUCGGCUAGAGAGUAGUUGCGGUAGGCGGAAUGUAUGGUGUAGCGGUGAAAUGCUUAGAGAUCAUACAGAACACCGAUUGCGAAGGCAGCUUACCAAGCUACUUCUGACGUUGAGGCACGAAAGCGUGGGGAGCAAACAGGAUUAGAUACCCUGGUAGUCCACGCAGUAAACGAUGAUAACUCGUUGUCGGCGA